This 149-nucleotide ribosomal RNA is filed under the name Jacquemontia havanensis. Its description in RNAcentral is "5.8S ribosomal RNA". The stretch from base 1 to 118 matches the Rfam family "5.8S ribosomal RNA", at positions 20 to 154 of the family's 154-position model. From Rfam's summary of the family: 5.8S ribosomal RNA (5.8S rRNA) is a component of the large subunit of the eukaryotic ribosome. The record is from RNAcentral. Lineage: Eukaryota; Viridiplantae; Streptophyta; Magnoliopsida; Solanales; Convolvulaceae.
CUCGGCUCUCGCAUCGAUGAAGAACGUAGCGAAAUGCGAUACUUGGUGUGAAUUGCAGUCUUUGAACGCAAGUUGCGCCCGAAGCCGUCAGGCCGAGGGCACGUCUGCCUGGGCGUCACGCAUCGCGUCGCCCCCCCCUUCCCUCGACC